GAGGAUACAAAACUACACAAGAUAUUAAAUCCAAAGCUGACUGUGAAGAGUUACAAAGCGAUCUCACUAAACAUGGUGACUGGACAAGAAAAUGGCAGACAAAAUUCAACGUUGAUAAGUGCAAAGUAAUGCACACUGGAGAACAUAAUCCCAGCUAUAUAUAGAAAAUAUCAGGGUU
This is a long non-coding RNA of Chelonia mydas (Green sea turtle), 178 nucleotides long. RefSeq lists it as uncharacterized. NCBI's taxonomy places the organism in Eukaryota, Metazoa, Chordata, Testudines, Cheloniidae. The record is from RefSeq and is a predicted model, not a curated record. The transcript has 3 exons.